Molecule: ribosomal RNA, 253 nt
Filed under: uncultured bacterium
Lineage: Bacteria
Description: partial 16S ribosomal RNA
Rfam family: Bacterial small subunit ribosomal RNA
Source: RNAcentral
UACGGAGGGUGCAAGCGUUGUUCGGAAUUACUGGGCGUAAAGGGCGCGUAGGUGGUUAUGCAAGUCAGAUGUGAAAUCCUUCGGCUCAACUGAAGAACUGCAUCUGAAACUGCAUAAUUAGAGUACAGGAGAGGGAAACGGAAUUCCCGGUGUAGAUGUGAAAUUCGUAGAUAUCAGGAGGAACACCUGUGGCGAAGGUGGUUUCCUGGCCUGAUAAUGACAAUGAGGCGCGUAAGCGUGGGGAGCAAACAGG